This 1290-nucleotide long non-coding RNA is filed under the name Lathyrus oleraceus (garden pea). RNAcentral describes it as "Pisum sativum (pea) long non-coding RNA (PSAT_LNC042322)". Lineage: Eukaryota; Viridiplantae; Streptophyta; Magnoliopsida; Fabales; Fabaceae. The record is from RNAcentral.
UUUUAAAGUUCGUAAUAGUGUUUUAGUAAAAUAAAUAAAUAAAGUUGAGAGACGUUCACCAAUCAUUAGCUGAAAGAGCAUAAAUGGAGGAAGAUCUUCCGUAAAACCACUUCAAAUAAGAGAACCUCUUUAUUUCUCUAUAGUAAAAGUCAAACUUGAGAAAAUAAGUUCAUUUUGAAAAUUUCACAACAAUAAUCCACGUCACAUUAAGCAAAAUCAAAGUGAAUCUUACCAAUAAUUGCAUUUAUUGUUAGGUUCUGUAUUUUGUGAUUGACUGUAUUUUGUUAAAACAAGUGAUAUAGAAAGAUAUUGGACACGAUGUCUUGACAUGCUUGUACGAUAUCUUGGCGUACUGUUGUUUCAGUUUUUUGGAAGAUUUGUUUUUCAGCGUGUGUUUAGUGAAAAUUCUUUGAUGAUUUGAUUCACGCAUUCUACGGUUCAAAGUACUUAAUUUAGAAGCUCAAAGAUCGGUUCCAGCUGUGCAAUGUUUCCUAAGAAUGAUUGUCAAAAUAUUUAAGGAGACAUUAGACCAGAUUUGAUUUGAUUCUGUAGAAAAUUGUGCAGAAUGAAUGUCGAGAUAUUUAAAGAAAUAUUUGAUUUGAUUAUGCAGAAGAUUGUGCAGAAUGGAUGUCGAAAUAUUUAAGGAAAUAUUAGAUUUGAUCUUACAAAAGAUUGUGCAGAAUGGAUGUCAAAACAUUUAAGGAAACAUUAGAUUUGAUUUUGCAGAAUGGAUGUCAAAACAUUUAAGAAGACAUCAUAUUUGAUUUGUUCAUAUUUAAUUAGAUUUGAUUUUUUUUGGUCUGCUGAUUUAUUAUCCCGGAGCCCAUGCUAUUCUGAGGCUAUUUAAAGGAUGAUUCUAAAUCUAAGAAGACAAAUAAGUUGCGUAUGUAAUAGUCUCUGUUAGGGUUUAGUAUGUUCAUUGUUAUUUGUGAGUCAUUAUUGUAUCACUUAGAUGCUUGAAUUGGAUUGAGUUUUUGAGUUGUGAUUGUGAAUUACUCAUGAGCUUUUAAGCAAGACUGAAUUCUGUUUUAUUGGAAGUGUAUCUUCUAUUUAUUGUUAGAAGUUGUUAUCAUUGUUGUGUGAUUGAAGGGGAGGGAGAAUGCUCUCAUAUCUAGGAGAGUCUUAGAUAGAAAUUCCAAGGGUAGUGAUUAGGUGAGAAGUUUGUAAAACUAAAGGUUGUUUAGAACUUCAAACUAAUAUUAUUAUAGUAGAUUUCCUUUCAGACUUGGAUUUCCCCAGAUGUAGGCAACAUUGCACCGAACUGGGUUAACAAAUGACACGUGUUAUUUA